CCCGCACAAGCGGUGGAGCAUGUGGUUUAAUUCGACGCAACGCGAAGAACCUUACCUGGGCUUGACAUCCCGGGAAUUUCCUAGAAAUAGGGAAGUGCCCUUCGGGGAACCCGGAGACAGGUGCUGCAUGGCUGUCGUCAGCUCGUGUCGUGAGAUGUUGGGUUAAGUCCCGCAACGAGCGCAACCCUCGCUGUGUGUUACAAGUGUCACACGGUACUGCCGAUAUUAAGUCGGAGGAAGGUGGGGAUGACGUCAAGUCAGCAUGACCUUUAUAUCCAGGGCUACACACACGCUACAAUGGCCAGUACAAUGGGUUGCCAAGCCGCGAGGCGGAGCCAAUCCUAAAAAGCUGGCCUCAGUUCAGAUUGCAGUCUGCAACUCGACUGCAUGAAGUUGGAGUUGCUAGUAACCGCAGGUCAGCAAUACUGCGGUGAAUACGUUCCCGGGGAUU
RNAcentral lists this ribosomal RNA (451 nucleotides) under uncultured Synergistaceae bacterium. RNAcentral describes it as "bacterial SSU rRNA". It matches the Rfam family "Bacterial small subunit ribosomal RNA", at positions 920 to 1378 of the family's 1533-position model. Lineage: Bacteria; Thermotogati; Synergistota; Synergistia; Synergistales; Synergistaceae. The record is from RNAcentral.